RNAcentral lists this ribosomal RNA (274 nucleotides) under uncultured bacterium. Its description in RNAcentral is "partial 16S ribosomal RNA". It matches the Rfam family "Bacterial small subunit ribosomal RNA", at positions 523 to 796 of the family's 1533-position model. The record is from RNAcentral.
AUACGGAGGGUGCAAGCGUUACUCGGAAUCACUGGGCGUAAAGCGCGCGCAGGCGGCUAUUUAAGUUGGAUGUGAAAGCCUACGGCUCAACCGUAGCACUGCAUCCAAAACUAUUUAGCUAGAGUGUGGGAGAGGAAGAUGGAAUUAGUUGUGUAGGGGUAAAAUCCGUAGAGAUAACUAGGAAUACCAAAAGCGAAGGCAAUCUUCUGGAACACUACUGACGCUGAGGCGCGAAAGCGUGGGGAGCAAACAGGAUUAGAAACCCUAGUAGUCC